UGGGGAAUAUUGGACAAUGGGCGGAAGCCUGAUCCAGCCAUGCCGCGUGUGUGAAGAAGGCCUUUUGGUUGUAAAGCACUUUAAGCGAGGAGGAGGCCACUUGGAUUAAUACUCUAGGAUAGUGGACGUUACUCGCAGAAUAAGCACCGGCUAACUCUGUGCCAGCAGCCGCGGUAAUACAGAGGGUGCGAGCGUUAAUCGGAUUUACUGGGCGUAAAGCGUGCGUAGGCGGCUUCUUAAGUCGGAUGUGAAAUCCCUGAGCUUAACUUAGGAAUUGCAUUCGAUACUGGGAAGCUAGAGUAUGGGAGAGGAUGGUAGAAUUCCAGGUGUAGCGGUGAAAUGCGUAGAGAUCUGGAGGAAUACCGAUGGCGAAGGCAGCCAUCUGGCCUAAUACUGACGCUGAGGUACGAAAGCAUGGGGAGCAAACAGG
RNAcentral lists this ribosomal RNA (430 nucleotides) under bacterium. RNAcentral describes it as "partial 16S ribosomal RNA". It matches the Rfam family "Bacterial small subunit ribosomal RNA", at positions 355 to 776 of the family's 1533-position model. The record is from RNAcentral.